This 1314-nucleotide long non-coding RNA is filed under the name Canis lupus dingo (dingo). Its description in RNAcentral is "lncRNA (ENSCAFG00020019959.1)". The record is from RNAcentral. Lineage: Eukaryota; Metazoa; Chordata; Mammalia; Carnivora; Canidae.
AUGCCACACCCGUGGUCCCCGAGCACGUGUCCCGUCCACCUGGGCCCACCUGGGGCUCUGACCACCGCCCGGCCCCCGCAGCCCCGUGCUCCUGGCGUGAGUCGUCUAAACAGAAGGGCAGGGAGCAAACGGAGCCCCUCGUCCAGCUCCCCCGGGCCUUCCCGGGUCAACGCUGCCCCUGCGGCCUCCCCCCAGCCUGCCCCGGGGACGGCGCCGUGGAGUGGGCGGCGACUGGCCUCGCUCAGAGCGAGCGUGUCGGGGCUGGGCCUUGAACGCCCGCCUCCCGGGGCCCGUCCCGCAGCUGGCUACGGGCCGUGGGUCCUUGGAUGGCCGCCUGGAGGGCCUGGGCCAGAGCCCGCCGGGGCAGAGGGGACGAGGGCAAGGUCGCCGUCUGCUCAAGUAGCGACUCGGGCCAGGAGAGCGUCCCCAGGCCACUGUGGCAGGUGCCGAAACCCAGCCCGGCCGCUGGGCCCCGGGUCACAGCCGCUCUCCUGGAGCCUCCGGUGCCUGGGAGAGGGGGAGGCGCCGGGCAGCCUGAGGACGGGGAGGGAAGGAGGCCGGCCCGAGGCUGCUGGGGGGCCCCUCCGGCUCCUCGACAGGGACCUGCCACACAGGGACGUGCGCGGGGCCCAGAGCACAAGACCCUCCGUGCAGGGCAGGUGGCCCGAGCCAUGCCCUCCCCACCGGACCCCUGGAGCUGCUCCCCUUGUCCCCCCGCCCAGGACUGCAGGACGGGCGCUGCCUCCUGGGGCCACGGUAUCGGGGGCUGCGAGGACUCCAGGGCUCGUGGCCAGCGACCCUCGGGGGCCCUCAAUCAUGUGGGCUCGCUGCUCUGUGCCUGCCUGGGGGGACACGGUGCGGGUGAGACGCGCACGGUCCCCCCUCUUAGGGUGUCUCGCCUGGCGGAGGAGUCAGGCAGGCCCAGGAGCAGGUGGGGCCACGCCAGGGACAGGGACGGGGCGUGACGCCGAGGGCAGGCGGGGGGCGCACUCCACAGGCCAGUGCCCCGCAGGGGUGAGGACGAGGGGAGGCGGCGCUCCUGACCAGGGAACGGCAGUGCAAAGGCCCUGGGGAGAGGAGUCCAUGUGUCCCGGAGCAGUGGGGCUGGGCUGCGGCCAGACGGGUGGUGGGGCCAGUUCAGACAUCCCAGAAGCCUCUAGAACCUUCCGCAGGCAGCAAGUGUGCUCUUUGGUUUCAGGCCCCGGCCCUGAUGGCUGUGUGCAGAGGGAGCGGCUGACGGCCACCCCAGACCCCGAGGAUCCCCGGGAGGGGAACCGGGCCCCGGAGGCCACGGAGGCCCGCGGUGGAGGGUGA